Molecule: small RNA, 28 nt
Filed under: Bombyx mori (domestic silkworm)
Lineage: Eukaryota; Metazoa; Arthropoda; Insecta; Lepidoptera; Bombycidae
Description: ovarian small RNA-31943
Source: RNAcentral
UGACUGACAUCGAGCCAACGGGGCUCUA